This 346-nucleotide ribosomal RNA is filed under the name Botryosphaeria berengeriana. RNAcentral describes it as "SSU rRNA". It matches the Rfam family "Eukaryotic small subunit ribosomal RNA", at positions 594 to 945 of the family's 1831-position model. The record is from RNAcentral. Lineage: Eukaryota; Fungi; Ascomycota; Dothideomycetes; Botryosphaeriales; Botryosphaeriaceae.
AUAGCGUAUAUUAAAGUUGUUGUGGUUAAAAAGCUCGUAGUUGAACCUUGGGCCUGGCUGGCCGGUCCGCCUCACCGCGUGUACUGGUCCGGCCGGGUCUUUCCCUCUGUGGAACCCCAUGCCCUUCACUGGGUGUGGCGGGGAAACAGGACUUUUACUUUGAAAAAAUUAGAGUGCUCAAAGCAGGCUUAUGCUCGAAUACAUUAGCAUGGAAUAAUAAAAUAGGACGUGCGGUUCUAUUUUGUUGGUUUCUAGAGUCGCCGUAAUGAUUAAUAGGGAUAGUUGGGGGCAUUAGUAUUCAAUUGUCAGAGGUGAAAUUCUUGGAUUUAUUGAAGACUAACUACUG